UAAAGUGGUGUGAAGUAAAUGCGGCAACGAAGAAGUGCACUUGCAGCCGAGGCGGAGCCGCCGGUCGUGCGCACGGCAAUUUCACGGCACAUCGCAAAUGUCGACAUGUUCCCGAAACCGAAGGAAGAUUAUCAGCGCGAGCAAACGAGGUGGGGCGCUCUUCUUAGCGUUUUCACUGUGUUUUUUGUGAUUUUUCUCGUGUUGUGGGAAGGCGCCGCAUACCUAAGAGGGCGCGACGCGUAUGAUACAGAUGUUUCUCUCGACAAAGGACUUUCAGAGGAUAUGCCGGUGCAUUUCGACGUACUUUUCCCGUUCAUGCCUUGCAAUCGUCUUAGCAUUGACGUUGUUGACACAACGGGGAUGGCAAAGUUCAACUAUACAGGCAGGCUACACAAACUUCCCACCGCGCUUGACGGAGAAGUCGUGUACAAAGGAAGCCUGAAGGAUCUCGACAAUGAAAUGGAGACGAGGGAAGGGCGCGCUGGUAAAAAGUGCCGCCCGUGCCCACCAUCUGCCUUUGAUGGAGUACCCGCAGAGGUGCGCAGCGCAGCCGAGUUGAAGUGCUGCGACACCUGCGAGAGCGUCUUGGACUUGUACAAGGAGCUGGGAAAGGGUAUUCCAGGCACUGAGUACAUUCCGCAGUGCCUGGAGCAGUUGUACCAACGAGCGAGCGGGUGCACCGUGAUGGGCUCUCUCGACUUGAAAAAGGUUCCUGUCACAGUCAUUUUCGGUCCCCGACGUACCGGCCAUUUUUACUCGCUUAAGGAUGUGAUUCGAUUGGAUACCUCUCAUUUCAUCAGAAAACUACGCAUCGGGGAUGAGACUGUGGAGCGGUUUUCAAAGAAUGGUGUGGCUGAGCCGCUUUCUGGUCACAAGUCGUCUUCGAAGACUUACUCGGAGACACGUUACUUAGUGAAGGUGGUUCCCACAACUUACAGAAAAACGAAGACAAAAAACGCAAAGGCUUCCACCUAUGAGUAUAGUGCCCAGUGGAGCAGGCGGACGAUUGUGGUGGGUUUCGCUGGAGCGGUCCCUGCUGUGCUGUUCGAGUUUGAGCCUGCCCCUAUUCAGGUGAACAAUGUGUUCGAGCGACAGCCUUUUUCGCACUUCCUGGUGCAGCUCUGCGGUAUCGUAGGUGGAUUGUUUGUUGUUCUGGGAUUUAUCGACAAUGUUGUCGACUGGGUUGGCGCUUUCGGGAAGUGGUAGCGGUAGAUAAGUUGUUUUUCUUCUCCGUCCGCUCUAUAUGGGGCGCGAAAUCACAAUAGAACAAUCUGAGGCUGUUGAAUGCUCUGCUACGACUGUCCUACUCAAACAAAUGAGGAGUAUAUGUUUUGCGUUUUUUGUCGCCUGAAAAGGUCUCAGCAUUGUGAGUCCAGUUAACUGGUGCUUGGCAAU
This 1395-nucleotide unclassified non-coding RNA is filed under the name Leishmania donovani. Its description in RNAcentral is "gene:LdHU3.11.0030(CDS-product:Endoplasmic_Reticu lum-Golgi_Inediate_Compartment_(ERGIC)/Endoplasmic_reticulu m_vesicle_transporter_putative)". The record is from RNAcentral. Lineage: Eukaryota; Euglenozoa; Kinetoplastea; Trypanosomatida; Trypanosomatidae.